GGAGUUCCGGGAAGAGUUCUCUUUUCUUCUUAACAACGCGAUAGACCCUGGAAUCGGAUUGCCCGGCGAUAGGGUGUAUUAGUUGGGAAAGCGGCGUAAUUUUUGCGCCGUCCGGUGCGCUCUUGACGGCCCUUGAAAACCCGGUGGCGUGUAUUCGCACCCCUGGUCGUACUCAUAACCGCAUCAGGUCUCCAAGGUGUGCAGCCUCUGGUCGAUAGAAGAAUGUAGAUAAGGGAAGU
RNAcentral lists this ribosomal RNA (239 nucleotides) under Pavlova sp. CCMP459. RNAcentral describes it as "partial Eukaryotic large subunit ribosomal RNA". It matches the Rfam family "Eukaryotic large subunit ribosomal RNA", at positions 1674 to 1914 of the family's 3401-position model. The record is from RNAcentral. Lineage: Eukaryota; Haptophyta; Pavlovophyceae; Pavlovales; Pavlovaceae.